CCUACGGGAGGCAGCAGUGAGGAAUAUUGGUCAAUGGGCGGGAGCCUGAACCAGCGAAGUCGCGUGAGUGAAGACGGUCCUAUGGAUUGUAAACCUCUUUAGGCGGGGAGCAAUGCCGGGCACGCGUGCCCGGAGGGAGAGUACCCGCAGAAUAAGCAUCGGCUAACUCCGUGCCAGCAGCCGCGGUAAUACGGGGGAUGCGAGCGUUAUCCGGAUUGAUUGGGUUUAAAGGGUGCGUGGGCGGAUUUUUAAGUUAGAGGUAAAAUUACCGGGCUCAACCCGGGCCGGCGGUUGAAACUGGGGAUCUUGAGUGGGCGAGAGGUAUGCGGAAGGCGGGGUGUAGCGGUGAAAUGCAUAGAUAUCACGCAGAACUCCGAUUGCGAAGGCAGCAUACCGGCGCCCGACUGACGCUGAGGCACGAAAGCGUGGGGAUCGAACAGGAUUAGAUACCCCUGUAGUC
Molecule: ribosomal RNA, 460 nt
Filed under: uncultured bacterium
Lineage: Bacteria
Description: partial 16S ribosomal RNA
Rfam family: Bacterial small subunit ribosomal RNA
Source: RNAcentral